Long non-coding RNA from Patella vulgata (common limpet), 1595 nucleotides. RefSeq lists it as uncharacterized. Lineage: Eukaryota; Metazoa; Mollusca; Gastropoda; Patellidae. The transcript is spliced from 6 exons. The record is from RefSeq and is a predicted model, not a curated record.
CUUGGGAUGGUGUUACGAAACAUCUCAUUUCCGGAACCGGAAAUUGCCCGACAUGCUGUCUGCUUUUGUAAACACUGGCCAAGGGAUUAAGAAAAAGAAUACUACCGACUCGUUGGUUUUAUUUACAAAAGGCAAGUGAAUAAGAAAGACGAUAUAGAGUAUGGCACAUUGUGAUAUUUGUAACCUCCAUUUAAACUCUGUUGAACAACUUGUACAACAUAAAACUGGAAAAACACAUCUUAAAAAUUUAGCUAUAAAGAAUGGUGAUAUCCCAACUCCAACAGUUUGUUCAAAACAAAGAGGAAAUCAUGUGAUUGGUAACCAACGACAACAGAUAAUGUUUGUAAAAGCUGGUUUAACAGAUGAAGAUCAAACACAGCAGAAAUCAAGUUCAUCACUGGAACCGUUGGGUUUUGAUAUCGACCCGGAACGCGAUGUGUAUCAGCCCGGAGAAGAUGUGUUGGGUCGUAAACGUAAAGCCCAGUCAUCUUUCUGUAAUCACUGUCAAAAAGAGUUGAACUCUGACCUCCAGGCCUCUCAACAUUAUGCUAGUGAUAAACAUAUGAAACGGUUAAAGAUGGGCACAGAGACCAAUACACAAGGAACAUCAGUGAAAAAAACAUCUCCCAAGGUACCACCCGUACCUUUGCAGACCGCAGCAGAUAUAACACCCAUCCCUUAUCCUCCAGCAUUUUUAUCAUCAACAUCUCCCCCUCCCCCUCCUCCACCAGUUGCCCCUACUAAACCUAAUACAGCAGUUCCUGGGUCACUAGAACCACCAAAACCUACUACAGCAGUUCCAGGGUCACAAGAAUCACCAAAAGCUACCCACGGUUUUAUGUUUUGUAGUUUUUGUAAUUUAAGUUUAAAUUCAGCAUCACAGAUAGACGCCCACCGAUCAGGUGCUCGACAUAAGAAGAACGUAGCCAAGGCCCAGAUUCAACAACUGUCAACCGUUACUUCAACAACUAAACAAUGAUUCUGAUCAACAACUAAACAAUGAUUCUAAUCAACAACUGUCAACUGUUACUUCAACAACUAAACAAUGAUUCUGAUCAAUAGCUGUCAACAACUAAACACUAAUUAUAAUCAACAACUAAACAAUAAUUAUAAUCAACUGUCAACAACUAAACAAUAAUUAUAAUCAACAACUGUCAACAACUUCUAAGUGUAGUGUUUAUGUACUGUUGACUAGUGAUGGGUAUUGCGACUAUCCAUAAUGUGUGACAUGGAUAAUUAAGAGUGACCAGUUACUUAGUGAUGCCGUUGUGUUUUCAUCCUUCAACAAAUCCACAAGGAAUUUAAGUGAUUAUAUAUGAUAAGUCACUGAUUAACAUCGAAUCUAGUCAUUUUGGUUGUGGUUCAUCAAUAGAACUGUUUAGCUGUGCUAGUGUGAUGGAGAUAGAGUUGUGGUUCAUCAGGAGAACUAGCCGUGCUAGUAAGAAGAUAGAAGGAAGGAAGGGCCAGUCCAAGGUACCAAAACCAUGGAUGUCACAUGCUAGGGAGGGGAGAGGGACAUAUGUCAUGUGCUAGUGAGGGGAGGAGGAGGAGGGGCAUAUGUCAUGUGCUAGAAAGGGGAGGAGGGGCAUAUGUCA